This 253-nucleotide ribosomal RNA is filed under the name uncultured bacterium. RNAcentral's name for it is "partial 16S ribosomal RNA". It matches the Rfam family "Bacterial small subunit ribosomal RNA", at positions 524 to 776 of the family's 1533-position model. The record is from RNAcentral.
UACAGAGGGGGCAAGCGUUGUUCGGAAUUACUGGGCGUAAAGGGCGCGUAGGCGGCCCGCUAAGUCGAACGUGAAAUCCCCGGGCUCAACCCGGGAACUGCGUCCGAUACUGGUGGGCUUGAAUCCGGGAGAGGGAUGCGGAAUUCCAGGUGUAGCGGUGAAAUGCGUAGAUAUCUGGAGGAACAUCAGUGGCGAAGGCGGCCUUCUGGUCCAGUACUGACACUCAAGUGCGAAAGCGUGGGGAGCAAACAGG